RNAcentral lists this ribosomal RNA (450 nucleotides) under uncultured bacterium. RNAcentral describes it as "partial 16S ribosomal RNA". It matches the Rfam family "Bacterial small subunit ribosomal RNA", at positions 354 to 796 of the family's 1533-position model. The record is from RNAcentral.
GUGGGGAAUUUUGGACAAUGGGCGCAAGCCUGAUCCAGCAAUGCCGCGUGCAGGAAGAAGGCCUUCGGGUUGUAAACUGCUUUUGUACGGAACGAAACGGUCCGGGUUAAUACCCUGGGCUAAUGACGGUACCGUAAGAAUAAGCACCGGCUAACUCUGUGCCAGCAGCCGCGGUAAUACGUAGGGUGCAAGCGUUAAUCGGAAUUACUGGGCGUAAAGCGUGCGCAGGCGGUUAUGUAAGACAGAGGUGAAAUCCCCGGGCUCAACCUGGGAACUGCCUUUGUGACUGCAUAGCUGGAGUGCGGCAGAGGGGGAUGGAAUUCCGCGUGUAGCAGUGAAAUGCGUAGAUAUGCGGAGGAACACCGAUGGCGAAGGCAAUCCCCUGGGCCUGCACUGACGCUCAUGCACGAAAGCGUGGGGAGCAAACAGGAUUAGAAACCCGGGUAGUCC